Molecule: ribosomal RNA, 279 nt
Filed under: uncultured bacterium
Lineage: Bacteria
Description: partial 16S ribosomal RNA
Rfam family: Bacterial small subunit ribosomal RNA
Source: RNAcentral
ACUCCUACGGGAGGCAGCAGUGGGGAAGUAUUGCACAAUGGGCGCAAGCCUGAUGCAGCCAUGCCGCGUGUAUGAAGAAGGCCUUCGGGUUGUAAAGUACUUUCAGCAGUGAGGAAGGUAGUGUAGUUAAUAGCUGCAUUAUUUGACGUUAGCUGCAGAAGAAGCACCGGCUAACUCCGUGCCAGCAGCCGCGGUAAUACGGAGGGUGCGAGCGUUAAUCGGAAUUACUGGGCGUAAAGCGCAUGCAGGUGGUUUGUUAAGUCAGAUGUGAAAGCCGGC